CAGGAACUGCAUGCGAUGAAUUUUCCUGAGAGUCUGAAAAAUUUUUGGACUUGAAUUCUUCUUACUCUGUGCCAAGUUUCAGCCUUUCCAGAUAACGCCAUCUUUGCCAAGAACGAUAACUCUAAUCUAUUGCAGAACUGUUCGGAGUCGGCCAUGUUGACUUCAUAUGGCUCGGAGUAAACAAAUUUCACCAGUUAUAUUCGGAUGCUUUAUGAGGUGUAAAUAAACUUUCCUGGAUAAUCAAGAUUUCAGUGAUUACCAGCCAGAGACUGUGUGUAAAUAUUCUUUCGCUUGUUUGUUUAUUCCUGUAUAUACCCCUUGUUGGAAAACUCAAGGAUUCAUCUUUGGUUUUACUUCAUUGAGGAUUUUUCCUAAAGACAUUGAAAAAAAAAAAAAGAAAAGAAAAAAGACAAAAAAAAAAGAUUUAUUCAGUUGAGCUUUUAAGGUAUGUAUUUAUUAAAUAAUA
Saccostrea cuccullata (small rock oyster) is the source of this 466-nucleotide long non-coding RNA. RefSeq lists it as uncharacterized. Lineage: Eukaryota; Metazoa; Mollusca; Bivalvia; Ostreida; Ostreidae. The record is from RefSeq and is a predicted model, not a curated record. The transcript is spliced from 5 exons.